RNAcentral lists this ribosomal RNA (460 nucleotides) under uncultured bacterium. Its description in RNAcentral is "bacterial SSU rRNA". It matches the Rfam family "Bacterial small subunit ribosomal RNA", at positions 17 to 508 of the family's 1533-position model. The record is from RNAcentral.
AUAUGGCUCAGAACGAACGCUGGCGGCGUGCUUAACACAUGCAAGUCGAGUGCGCGUCUGUAGCAAUACAGAUGGCGCACGGCGCACGGGUGCGUAACACGUGGGUAACCUGCCCUUUAGUGGGGAAUAACCUCGCGAAAGCGAGGCUAAUUCCGCAUAAGAUCCGCAAGGAUGAAAGCCGUAAGGCGCUGAUGGAGGGGCCCGCGCACGAUUAGCUAGUUGGUAGGGUAACGGCCUACCAAGGCUAUGAUCGUUAGCUGGUCUGAGAGGAUGGCCAGCCACACUGGAACUGAGACACGGUCCAGACUCCUACGGGAGGCAGCAGUGGGGAAUAUUGGACAAUGGGCGCAAGCCUGAUCCAGCCAUGCCGCGUGGGUGAUGAAGGCCCUAGGGUUGUAAAGCCCUUCGGCGGGGAAGAUAAUUACGGUACCCGCAAAAGAAGCCCCGGCUAAUUACAGUC